This is a non-coding RNA of Potamilus streckersoni, 76 nucleotides long. NCBI's taxonomy places the organism in Eukaryota, Metazoa, Mollusca, Bivalvia, Unionida, Unionidae. The record is from the annotation of a GenBank genome assembly.
GCUUUGGUGGCUUAGUGGUUAGAGCAUCCGCCUCAGAUUCAAGAGGUUGUGGGUUCGAACCCUUAGCAUUGAAGCU